CAAUUUUAGUCGGGGUGCCUUGUGGCGGUGUGAAUAUGUCGCGCUGAAAUAAGGCUGAGAUGAUACCCGUGAACCUGAUACAGUUAAUACUGACGUAGGAAACUAAUUAUGCACAAAC
RNAcentral lists this non-coding RNA (118 nucleotides) under Pasteurella felis. Its description in RNAcentral is "Haemophilus felis TPP sequence". It matches the Rfam family "TPP riboswitch aptamer (THI element)". From Rfam's summary of the family: Vitamin B(1) in its active form thiamin pyrophosphate (TPP) is an essential coenzyme that is synthesised by coupling of pyrimidine and thiazole moieties in bacteria. The previously detected thiamin-regulatory element, thi box was extended, resulting in a new, highly conserved RNA secondary structure, the THI element, which is widely distributed in eubacteria and also occurs in some archaea. Lineage: Bacteria; Pseudomonadati; Pseudomonadota; Gammaproteobacteria; Pasteurellales; Pasteurellaceae. The record is from Rfam by way of RNAcentral.